This is a non-coding RNA of Candidatus Yonathbacteria bacterium, 82 nucleotides long. The record is from Rfam. Lineage: Bacteria; Candidatus Yonathiibacteriota.
GCUGGGGUGGCGAAAUUGGUAGACGCAACUGCCUUAGGAGCAGUCGGGGUAACCUGUGGAGGUUCGAGUCCUCUCCCCAGCA